Long non-coding RNA from Pan troglodytes (chimpanzee), 1193 nucleotides. RefSeq lists it as uncharacterized. The transcript is spliced from 4 exons. The record is from RefSeq and is a predicted model, not a curated record. NCBI's taxonomy places the organism in Eukaryota, Metazoa, Chordata, Mammalia, Primates, Hominidae.
AUCCAUAGCAACCAGAGAUCUGGAGAACUUUAUAAUCAGAAGCCUGGCCUCCAAGGGGUUCUCUGAUGGACAAUCACUGACUUUCUGGGGGAAAAAAUCAGAGUGUUCACAGAAGCAAGCCUGUAGAAGAAGGAGAAGAAGAAGGAAGGAUACAGGAUGAGAAUCAGAGGAUGAAAAAGAACAGAUAGGGCCCCAGAGAGGAGAGAUGGAAGCACACAGACGGAGAGAAGUUGAAAGACAGAGAGAAAGAAGUGGGAUGAGAGCCUGGAAUAAAGGCAACUCAGGCCCAAAGAGAGGAAGUGCCUAACCCCAGGCCACAGAGCGAGUUAACUAGUGAUGGACCCACAUUUAGCUCAUCCUUAUUUGGUUAAGUCCACACAGCCAGAUGCUCCCGACAGACCUGCAGCUGCCUGCAGAUGGCCAUCGUACCCCGGCCUCCCCAUUUGCCAGCUGUUCUCUCAGUUGCCUCAGCCCUUCCAUCUCCACUGAACAGGGUUCACAGCCCUUGCCCGCCAGGCACCCUUAUCUGAAGAGCUCCAAGCUGGGGUGGGUUUGGUCUUCUCCUGACCUCCGUCGGCUUCCUGGGGCCUGGAACAUCCUGAAGCUAGAACAAAACAGCUAAAGGCAGAAAAGGAGGCAAAUACUCGUUCAGUCAGAAGACAGGAAGACUAGCAGGAGGCUGACUCUGGGAGUAAGACUCACUGGCUUUAGAUUGGUGUUUCUUCCUGAGGCUGGGUCACACCAGGAAACCUUUGAUCCCUCCCUUCCCCUCCUCCCCAGAACCUGGAGCUUCUGUCUCCCACAGCCAGCGGUGGAACCAGCGGUGGCUGAGUAACUGACAAACUGCAGGAGAGCCUCCAAGAAGAAGUGGAGAGAGGAGAAAAAGAGAGAGGACAGUUGAACAUUCUUCAGGAUCCAUAUGAGUGUGAGCACAUAUCCUCAUGUGCUGGCAUUUGACUGACUGACAGGUUAUGGAGGCCCAAUCUCUCUUUGGCGAUAAAGUGACAGAGGUCAGACCCGGAUAUAAUCUGCCGAGUUGAUUCCUAUAGGAGCAAGAGGAGACAAUCCCCUCCCUCCCUCUUUAGAACCCCAUACUUCUGUGAAUGCAACCUAAGGUCACACUGGCUUUUUAGUAGCUGCGUGAUCCUGUUGACUCAUUUUGCACUUAAUGUUGAAUAAAAAACUGUAAGAUA